Molecule: ribosomal RNA, 497 nt
Filed under: uncultured bacterium
Lineage: Bacteria
Description: partial 16S ribosomal RNA
Rfam family: Bacterial small subunit ribosomal RNA
Source: RNAcentral
GAUGAACGCUGGCGGCGUGCCUAAUACAUGCAAGUCGAGCGAACGGACGAGACGCUUGCUUCUCUGAUGUUAGCGGCGGACGGGUGAGUAACACGUGGAUAACCUACCUAUAAGACUGGGAUCACUUCGGGACACCGGAGCUAAUACCGGAUAAUAUUUUGAACCGCAUGGUUCAAAAGUGAAAGACGGUCUUGCUGUCACUUAUAGAUGGAUCCGCGCUGCAUUAGCUAGUUGGUAAGGUAACGGCUUACCAAGGCAACUAUGCAUAGCCGACCUGAGAGGGGGAUAGGCCACACUGGAACUGGGACACGGACCAGACUCCUACGGGAGGCAGCAGUAGGGAAUCUUCCGCAAUGGGCGAAAGCCUGACGGAGCAACGCCGCGUGAGUGAUGAAGGUCUUCGGAUCGUAAAACUCUGUUAUUAGGGAAGAACAGAUGUGGAAGGAACUGUGCACAGCUUGACGGUACCUAAUCAGAAAGCCACGGCUAACUACGUG